Molecule: ribosomal RNA, 489 nt
Filed under: uncultured bacterium
Lineage: Bacteria
Description: partial 16S ribosomal RNA
Rfam family: Bacterial small subunit ribosomal RNA
Source: RNAcentral
AGUGAACGCUGGCGGUAGGCCUAACACAUGCAAGUCGAACGGCAGCACAGUAAGAGCUUGCUCUUACGGGUGGCGAGUGGCGGACGGGUGAGGAAUACCGAAUCUACUUUUUCGUGGGGGAUAACGUAGGGAAACUUACGCUAAUACCGCAUACGACCUACGGGUGAAAGCAGGGGAUCUUCGGACCUUGCGCGAUUGAAUGAGCCGAUGUCGGAUUAGCUAGUUGGCGGGGUAAAGGCCCACCAAGGCGACGAUCCGUAGCUGGUCUGAGAGGAUGAUCAGCCACACUGGAACUGAGACACGGUCCAGACUCCUACGGGAGGCAGCAGUGGGGAAUAUUGGACAAUGGGCGCAAGCCUGAUCCAGCCAUACCGCGUGGGUGAAGAAGGCCUUCGGGUUGUAAAGCCCUUUUGUUGGGAAAGAAAAGCAGCAGGUUAAUACCCCGCUGUUCUGACGGUACCCAAAGAAUAAGCACCGGCUAACUUCGUG